GAACAAUUCAUCACUUAACAUACAAUGCACCUGAUCUUGUCUGAUCUCAGAAGCUAAGCAGGGUCAGGCCUGGUUUGUACUUGGAUGGGAGACAUUGUCUUUCUGGAGAAAUUUUUG
Molecule: ribosomal RNA, 117 nt
Filed under: Neogale vison (American mink)
Lineage: Eukaryota; Metazoa; Chordata; Mammalia; Carnivora; Mustelidae
Source: RNAcentral